This is a long non-coding RNA of Saccostrea echinata, 328 nucleotides long. RefSeq lists it as uncharacterized. NCBI's taxonomy places the organism in Eukaryota, Metazoa, Mollusca, Bivalvia, Ostreida, Ostreidae. The transcript has 2 exons. The record is from RefSeq and is a predicted model, not a curated record.
AAAUUACAAAAGUUUUCUUCCAGUGACCUUAACCUCAUCCAGAUGACCUUUAAUUAUGUUUUCCAAUUCUCAUUCUAGGCUUUAUCAAUGCUGUUUUAACUACCAGUAAAUGGAUAUCCAAUCCUCAGCCAGGAAGGAUAACUCUUAAAGGAUGACUGCACUUAACGCCUGUUUUUGGGUCUUUUUCGGUUGCCUCUGUUGCUUUUAUAUCUAAACCUUAUUUCACAUUUGUAUGUUUAUGAAAGAAUCCUGUCAAUUUGGAAGUUGGAACCAAGUUUAAAUCUUAAAAUGAUUUUAGACUGUGAUACAAUAAAAUGAUUCAUGACAA